UGCAUCGGCCGGGAAUCGAACCCGGGCAGCCCGCGUGGCCCGCGUGACCACUGAACCACCGAUGG
Molecule: transfer RNA, 65 nt
Filed under: Cordylochernes scorpioides
Lineage: Eukaryota; Metazoa; Arthropoda; Arachnida; Pseudoscorpiones; Chernetidae
Description: tRNA-OTHER
Source: RNAcentral